AUAGAAACUCUUCUUUGGUGUUAAGGUAAUAGCUAUGAAUAGUCAUUAGGCAAGAUUGGUUGGAUUAGCCCAUUUUUCUGUAGGUUAUAUAUUCACCUAUGCGGCUUGAAUUCUAACCUUGUGUCAAGACCUACGAGCCAAGGGACCGUCUCAGGUAGACAAUUUCUAUGGGGCGUAGGCCUCCCAAAAGGUAACGGAGGCUUGCAAAGGUUUUCUCGGGCCUGACGGAGAUUGGCCCUCGAGUGCAAAGGUAGAAGGGAGCUUGACUGCAAGACCCACCUGUCGAGCAGGGACAAAAGUUGGCCUUAGUGAUCCGACGGAAAUACUAGAUCCCCACUUACACAAGCAAAUUGUUGAUAAAA
This 362-nucleotide non-coding RNA is filed under the name Vitis vinifera (wine grape). RNAcentral describes it as "Bacterial large subunit ribosomal RNA". It matches the Rfam family "Bacterial large subunit ribosomal RNA", at positions 2103 to 2453 of the family's 2925-position model. Lineage: Eukaryota; Viridiplantae; Streptophyta; Magnoliopsida; Vitales; Vitaceae. The record is from Rfam by way of RNAcentral.